GUGCUAGCUUUGCCAGCACAUAUACUAAAAUUGGAACAAUAGAAGAUUAGCAUGGCCCCUGUGCAAGGAUGACACACAGUAGUAUGGAGAUUACAGGGUGCAC
Dromiciops gliroides (monito del monte) is the source of this 103-nucleotide small nuclear RNA. The record is from RefSeq and is a predicted model, not a curated record. NCBI's taxonomy places the organism in Eukaryota, Metazoa, Chordata, Mammalia, Microbiotheria, Microbiotheriidae.